UCCCAUGUGGCUCAGUUGGUAGAGCAUGGGGCUUGCAACGCCAGGGGUUCAAUUCCCACAGGGGAC
Molecule: transfer RNA, 66 nt
Filed under: Salmo salar (Atlantic salmon)
Lineage: Eukaryota; Metazoa; Chordata; Actinopteri; Salmoniformes; Salmonidae
Also listed under: 1 other name
Rfam family: tRNA
About the family: Transfer RNA (tRNA) molecules are approximately 80 nucleotides in length. Their secondary structure includes four short double-helical elements and three loops (D, anti-codon, and T loops). Further hydrogen bonds mediate the characteristic L-shaped molecular structure. tRNAs have two regions of fundamental functional importance: the anti-codon, which is responsible for specific mRNA codon recognition, and the 3' end, to which the tRNAs corresponding amino acid is attached (by aminoacyl-tRNA synthetases). tRNAs cope with the degeneracy of the genetic code in two manners: having more than one tRNA (with a specific anti-codon) for a particular amino acid; and 'wobble' base-pairing, i.e. permitting non-standard base-pairing at the 3rd anti-codon position.
Source: Rfam by way of RNAcentral